AAGCGGGCUGCACGACCUGACGUCGCCACACGCCGGCCGGUAAGUGACCACCGCCCGCGCACAGCCUUUCCGUGACCAGCGUGCACAGCGCUGUAAUGAUUUUCCUUUUUUCUUAUUAUGUGUAUGCUGAGUUUUUUGCGAUGCCCUUCUAAGCCUGUUGAAGUAUGAAAUAUUCAGGCUUCUCUUUGGCAUGUCUUCCCUACUCCACUUUUCGCUGUCUCAGCCACGGAAAAAUCACACCUGGAGGGCGAGAAGUGGUCACGGGGCUGUCCUGGAGACCUGGGUGCCCGGAUGCCCCUGUCUCAAGUGACAUUUCCGUUUGCCUGCAAGAUGGAUUUGAACGUCAAACGGCUAAGUCGGACUUCUCGAUCUCUCCUGGCUCCAGAAAAUGGAGCGAUCAAAACACCGCUCUGGACAAUAAAACGUUCUUCGUUUUGUGGA
This is a long non-coding RNA of Phyllostomus hastatus (greater spear-nosed bat), 441 nucleotides long. RefSeq lists it as uncharacterized. NCBI's taxonomy places the organism in Eukaryota, Metazoa, Chordata, Mammalia, Chiroptera, Phyllostomidae. The transcript has 2 exons. The record is from RefSeq and is a predicted model, not a curated record.